UUAAAAUUCUGUUGGUUCUUGGGUUUCUGUAACAGGAAGUAGUGUUGAUGUUCCCUGAUAUUUGAUAACUCAUUUUUUUUGGAUACAAAUCGAAGAAAUCAUUGUGAGUUUUACGAGCAUAUGUCAUUAUCUAAAAUGGAUAUAUGUAAAUAGCUGGAUUUCGAGAGAAAAGAUCAAGCGGCAUAUCCAACAGCUGAGAGCGAGAACUUUUAUCAAUAAUUGAACUGAUCGCACCUCACAAACCGCAUCUAAGCAACAACAAUGGCCAGCAGCCGAAAACUUCCCAGAUUUGCAGCACUUAACGUUCUCGUGAUUUUACUGUCUCAAUAUUUCAUUUCGACCCAAGCGCUCCAAUCAGCCAAUGAAACAGAUGACCAGGAGGACGAAAAUGAAAGCUUCAUGGAGCAACAAAUGGACGAGCUAGAAAAAUUUUACCUUUAUAAACUUUAUCUCCAGCAACAUGCUUGCUUCCCAUCUGAGUAAACCGACAAGAUAUUGACAAACCAUGGAAUCCAUUCGUCAAUCAUAAGAGAUCGGACUUCAACGUCGGGUUCUUGAAUAAAGUCACUGCAAAUGGCGCCAAAGGGGCUAGUGACCGAAACAGGCUGAAACAGUUCUACGGGGGCUCUAUUGGACCAGGCUAACAUAUGACAUCAGGAUUUCUUGUUUGGAUCGGAUUUUAUGGAAAUAUGAAGAUUAACUGACAAUCUAUAAUCGAUGAUCUACAUGAACUGAAGUUUCGAAUUUAAUUUUGCUGUUUAAUUGAGAACUCUUCUCAUAUAAUAUAGUUUACAAAUCUUGUGAG
Molecule: long non-coding RNA, 805 nt
Organism: Symsagittifera roscoffensis
Lineage: Eukaryota; Metazoa; Xenacoelomorpha; Acoela; Convolutidae
Exons: 3
Source: RefSeq, a predicted model, not a curated record